RNAcentral lists this ribosomal RNA (311 nucleotides) under Escherichia coli. Its description in RNAcentral is "partial 23S ribosomal RNA". It matches the Rfam family "Bacterial large subunit ribosomal RNA", at positions 157 to 506 of the family's 2925-position model. The record is from RNAcentral. Lineage: Bacteria; Pseudomonadati; Pseudomonadota; Gammaproteobacteria; Enterobacterales; Enterobacteriaceae.
ACUGAAUCCAUAGGUUAAUGAGGCGAACCGGGGGAACUGAAACAUCUAAGUACCCCGAGGAAAAGAAAUCAACCGAGAUUCCCCCAGUAGCGGCGAGCGAACGGGGAGGAGCCCAGAGCCUGAAUCAGUGUGUGUGUUAGUGGAAGCGUCUGGAAAGGCGCGCGAUACAGGGUGACAGCCCCGUACACAAAAAUGCACAUACUGUGAGCUCGAUGAGUAGGGCGGGACACGUGGUAUCCUGUCUGAAUAUGGGGGGACCAUCCUCCAAGGCUAAAUACUCCUGACUGACCGAUAGUGAACCAGUACCGUGA